GCCUUCGCGGUGUAGUGGUCAGCACGCUCGACACGAAUUCGAGAGGUUCGUGGUUCGAGUCCGGGCGAGGGCA
RNAcentral lists this transfer RNA (73 nucleotides) under Stegodyphus dumicola. Its description in RNAcentral is "tRNA-Ser". It matches the Rfam family "tRNA". From Rfam's summary of the family: Transfer RNA (tRNA) molecules are approximately 80 nucleotides in length. Their secondary structure includes four short double-helical elements and three loops (D, anti-codon, and T loops). Lineage: Eukaryota; Metazoa; Arthropoda; Arachnida; Araneae; Eresidae. The record is from RNAcentral.